Molecule: long non-coding RNA, 2865 nt
Filed under: Equus asinus (donkey)
Lineage: Eukaryota; Metazoa; Chordata; Mammalia; Perissodactyla; Equidae
Description: lncRNA (ENSEASG00005036689.1)
Source: RNAcentral
CGGCGCCGCCCCCAGCCAAGAUCCCAGCGCCGCGGGGAAAGCGGCCAGGCCGGGUGCGCCAGGCCCCCGACGGCUCCGACCCGGCUCGGCGGCCGCCUCGGCUCGGCCCGGCCCGUGCGCCCCGGUCCCGGUUCACCGGGGCCCCGCGGCGCCGCCCCCCGCUCCGCAGUGGCCCGAGCCCCGCCCCGCCGCCCUCUCCCCCCUCCGCCCGGCCCUCCCUCAAGCGCCAGGGCGGCCGGCCCUCAGGGGAUGGGCGAAGGGGAGGGGUCCCCGCCCCCGGCCCGCCUGGAGGCGGGGACGGCGCGCUCGCCUGCUCUGCGGGUCCCCGAGGCCCAGGCGCCGCCGGGCAUGGGGCGCACGGAGCUGGGGGCCCCGCGGGAAGCGGCCCGGCACACGGUCAGCUCCCAAGCUAUUGGAGACCCCCUCAAGCAAAGCCCUGCCCCCAAUCCAGGAACUCUUUUAUAAAGAAUUUCCCAGUAUAAUCUCCUGAGACUCAGUUAAUCAGGAUCUUUCCCCUCACCCCCAUUUUAGGUGAGUUGGUCCUGAGUCUAAAGAGCAUUGAAUGUUGAGGGGAGGAGGGGAUGUGUUGCUGGACGAGGAGGAGAGGUGGGGGUCUGCAGUGGAGCCGUCGAUGUUUUUGGCAGGAGAGGUGCCCUCCUCCCUAUAUGGCGCUCUCAGAUUCUAGCUAGUCUCGAGAAGGUAAAUCAAUGGGCUAUAGAAACCUUGCCUCCCUGAUGCGCUCAAUGAGGAUCUUCAGUUCGGAUCCAAGUCCAAGAACGUCUGCCUUCCAUCACAGCCCUUUGUGGACACUUACCUCCCGACUGCAGGAGGAGGUCCUUCGAAGCUAGAAUCAACGGGUCGCUCUCAGUAACCCCACCGCGCUAGUGUCGAGAGGGAUCCCAGCGCCAUUGCAGACGUCUAUGCUGGAAUGAGUGAAGCUUGUUUACAAGCACUGGGGCCACAGGACAAUACAUGUGAAGAUGGAGGCAGAGGUUGGAGUGAUGUGUCUACAAGCCAAGGAGUGCUAAGGAGUGCCAGCAGCCACCAGGAGCUAGGAGAGGGGCCUGGAACGGACUCUCCCUCAGAGCCUCCAGAAGAAACCAACCCUGCCGACACCUUGACUUUGGACUUCUGGCUUCCAGAACUGAAGAUUAGCCCUGAGCUAACAUCUGCUGUCAAUCCUCCUCUUUUUGCUGAGGAAGACUGGCCCUGAGCUCACAUCCGUGCCCAUCUUCCUCUAUUUUGUAUGUGGGAUGCCUGUCACAGCAUGGUGUGCCAAGCAGUGCCACGUCUGCACCCAGGAUUCAAACCGGUGAAUCCUGGGCUGUGGAAGCAGAACGUGCGAACUUAACCGCUACGCCACCAGGCCAGCCCCUGAGCCUUAGUCCUCGCACUGCUGUCUGGGUGUGGAAUGUCUGGUGAAGCUGCACAGGACGAUCAGCAACUUUGAUUUGAGAAGACAGAACUCCUCCUGUUCCUAUGGGACCACUACGAGAACCUGGUCUUGCUGUUCCAGGUGGCAUUCCAGUUGCCACUCGAAUAUUUCCUGAUGGGGGUCGUACUCCAGAAGGAGGCCUUCCUGUCAACCCAAUUCCACCUCGUGACACAGGGCGAGCUGCUGAAGGUUUGUGAUUACUGGCCAUUGUUUACUUUACCCACUCUUCUUCGGCCGGCGGUGUAGGUUGCAGGAGGGAAGCGAGCCAAAGCUUGGUGUCGGGCCUCGGCAGUCGGGACGCACACGGUCUGCCCGAAUGUUGUCUUUUUAAAAAACAAUAAUAUGGUGUCCUUGUUUCAGAUUAGCCCUGAGCUAACAUCUGCUGCCAAUCCUCCUCUUUUUGCUGAGGAAGACUAGCCGUGAGCUAACAUCCGUGCCCAUCUUCCUCUACUUUAUAUGUGGGACGCCUACUACAGCAUGGCGUGCCAAGCAGUGCCAUGUCUGCACCCUGGAUCCGAACCGGCGAAACUCCGGGCUGCUGAAGGGGAACAUGCGCACUUAACCGGUGUGCCACUGGGCCGGCCCCUAAAUUGCUUGUCUUGAGUACCGGGGAGACUGUGUAGCCUAUCUGGGGACUCCGGUUUAUUUUAUUUCUAAUGUUAACCUCAGGUGGCUAUGUGCUCCCCGACUUGUAUGUGAUAAACGGAUUGGUCAGGGCUGUCCUUUGGUGGUGGAGCAGACUGAAGGGUACAGGGGCAUGAUUCUUCUAACCCUUGGCUUCCCCUGGAGGCAAUACUUCCCAGGAAUGGAGAGGUUUGGGAGCAUAGGCCUAAGGCACACAGUCUACACAGUGUGUGUACUCUGUGCCAAAAAUCUUCCUAAGGAGAUCAAGAGACUUGCGUCUUUUUACACUAGGCUCUCUCUGCCUUGGCUGAGUGUGGAUUAUCCACUUUCGAAUAGGCCCUGGGUUUUGGGCCAGGUUGGUAGACAACAGCAAGUGAUUUCUGGCCACUUUAGCCUCUUCUUUAGAAGAGGUGUUCACUGGAAGUUCCUCGGACAGUGAGUGGAGGAGUUGAGUGGCCAGCUCCAUGAGGUGCAGGAGGCCAUGGACAUCUCAGUGGCCGUCUCCUCCUUGGCUCUUAGCAGCUUGUAAUUCUAUUUGCUUACUCUCUUCCACCAACCUGUGCUGUCCAAUCAGAAUACAACAGUCACUAGCCACAAAUGGCUAUUGAGUGCUUGAAACUUGAGAUGUGCUGUUACGUGUAAAAUGUACAUUGGAUUUUGAAAACUUAGUAUGAAAGGAAGUGUAAAAUAUCUCAUCUGUAUUUUUUAUGUUGAUUGCAUGUUGAAAUGAUAUUUUGGAUAUAUUGAGCUAAAUAAAACAUAUUGUUAAAAUUAAGUUCACCAUUUUUUUUUUAAUGUGGAUACUU